UUGUGAAUUAUGUUGAAGAAUUCCCCAAAAGGUGGUGAUGGAUGGAACAACUCUUGGAAUACAGAAAACUUUCUUACCAAAUAAUUUAAGAGAGUCUGAUACUGAUUGCUACAUGGAAGACAAGCUCAACAUGAGACAAAAUUACUUUGCAAGUAAAGUUCUAUAAAAGACUAUUGAUGGCUUUUAUGAAAAAGUGAAAAGCACCGAGUUUAAAGGAGCGAUGUUUUUGGCUUUAUAUAGAGGAAAGCUAUCAAGAUCAUACAGAAGAAAAGUUAAAGGAAAAGACUGAGGAUGAUGCUGGAAAGUAACGAUGAUGGCAAAGAAUCCGAUGGCAAUGUGCUGGAAAGUAACGAUGAAAGCUCUGUAAAGAAAACAUUGUAAAAAAUGUUUCUCACGUGGAAUAUUAAAGUCAGAAAAUAAUGCUAUGGCAAAAUAUAGAGUUUGAAAUUUGAAGCGA
Xenia sp. Carnegie-2017 is the source of this 457-nucleotide long non-coding RNA. RefSeq lists it as uncharacterized. The record is from RefSeq and is a predicted model, not a curated record. Lineage: Eukaryota; Metazoa; Cnidaria; Anthozoa; Malacalcyonacea; Xeniidae. The transcript is spliced from 3 exons.